Brienomyrus brachyistius is the source of this 517-nucleotide long non-coding RNA. RefSeq lists it as uncharacterized. The transcript is spliced from 3 exons. The record is from RefSeq and is a predicted model, not a curated record. NCBI's taxonomy places the organism in Eukaryota, Metazoa, Chordata, Actinopteri, Osteoglossiformes, Mormyridae.
UCUCUAUAUCAUUAUGCUGAAAUCUAUCUCUUUGUUACAGGCUUUCAGAAGCUGCUGGAUCCUCUUCACUCUGGCUUGCUGAUAGUUUUAUCUUGCAGCAUUAUUCUGAACGUUGCUCUCAUUUGUAUAAGAUGUAAACUGACCUGUACACACUGUGCAGAUGAAAAGAACAGUGAUAUAUCAAAAGUGGAAUGGUCACGCAAGCAAUGCCAUGACGAGGACACACUGAAUUACGCUGCCCUGAACCUUAAGAAGCCAAAACCCAGGAGACAGAAGAAAGACGGGAAUAAUGACACUCUGUAUUCUGACCUCCGCUACAGAGAUUAUGAAUAAAGAUGCUUCUCAUUCAUGUCAGUCACACAGAGUGUUCAGGGUGUAGCUUUAAUAAUGUUCAGAGGAGGGCAGGGGAGCCAGUGCUUCUGAGACUGAAUCACGGGAUUUUACGGAGCACCGGUGCUGAGUUUGGUGUCAGUGUGUUUGGGGCGCAUUUUUACUGGAAGUGCAAAUGUUCAAGCCA